RNAcentral lists this ribosomal RNA (1371 nucleotides) under Staphylococcus aureus. RNAcentral describes it as "partial 23S ribosomal RNA". It matches the Rfam family "Bacterial large subunit ribosomal RNA", at positions 1344 to 2710 of the family's 2925-position model. The record is from RNAcentral. Lineage: Bacteria; Bacillati; Bacillota; Bacilli; Caryophanales; Staphylococcaceae.
ACUAAGGUUUCCAGAGGAAGGCUCGUCCGCUCUGGGUUAGUCGGGUCCUAAGCUGAGGCCGACAGGCGUAGGCGAUGGAUAACAGGUUGAUAUUCCUGUACCACCUAUAAUCGUUUUAAUCGAUGGGGGGACGCAGUAGGAUAGGCGAAGCGUGCGAUUGGAUUGCACGUCUAAGCAGUAAGGCUGAGUAUUAGGCAAAUCCGGUACUCGUUAAGGCUGAGCUGUGAUGGGGAGAAGACAUUGUGUCUUCGAGUCGUUGAUUUCACACUGCCGAGAAAAGCCUCUAGAUAGAAAAUAGGUGCCCGUACCGCAAACCGACACAGGUAGUCAAGAUGAGAAUUCUAAGGUGAGCGAGCGAACUCUCGUUAAGGAACUCGGCAAAAUGACCCCGUAACUUCGGGAGAAGGGGUGCUCUUUAGGGUUAACGCCCAGAAGAGCCGCAGUGAAUAGGCCCAAGCGACUGUUUAUCAAAAACACAGGUCUCUGCUAAACCGUAAGGUGAUGUAUAGGGGCUGACGCCUGCCCGGUGCUGGAAGGUUAAGAGGAGUGGUUAGCUUCUGCGAAGCUACGAAUCGAAGCCCCAGUAAACGGCGGCCGUAACUAUAACGGUCCUAAGGUAGCGAAAUUCCUUGUCGGGUAAGUUCCGACCCGCACGAAAGGCGUAACGAUUUGGGCACUGUCUCAACGAGAGACUCGGUGAAAUCAUAGUACCUGUGAAGAUGCAGGUUACCCGCGACAGGACGGAAAGACCCCGUGGAGCUUUACUGUAGCCUGAUAUUGAAAUUCGGCACAGCUUGUACAGGAUAGGUAGGAGCCUUUGAAACGUGAGCGCUAGCUUACGUGGAGGCGCUGGUGGGAUACUACCCUAGCUGUGUUGGCUUUCUAACCCGCACCACUUAUCGUGGUGGGAGACAGUGUCAGGCGGGCAGUUUGACUGGGGCGGUCGCCUCCUAAAAGGUAACGGAGGCGCUCAAAGGUUCCCUCAGAAUGGUUGGAAAUCAUUCAUAGAGUGUAAAGGCAUAAGGGAGCUUGACUGCGAGACCUACAAGUCGAGCAGGGUCGAAAGACGGACUUAGUGAUCCGGUGGUUCCGCAUGGAAGGGCCAUCGCUCAACGGAUAAAAGCUACCCCGGGGAUAACAGGCUUAUCUCCCCCAAGAGUUCACAUCGACGGGGAGGUUUGGCACCUCGAUGUCGGCUCAUCGCAUCCUGGGGCUGUAGUCGGUCCCAAGGGUUGGGCUGUUCGCCCAUUAAAGCGGUACGCGAGCUGGGUUCAGAACGUCGUGAGACAGUUCGGUCCCUAUCCGUCGUGGGCGUAGGAAAUUUGAGAGGAGCUGUCCUUAGUACGAGAGGACCGGGAUGGACAUACCUCU